CGUGGCUGCAACUUUGCAUGCAGAUGUCAUCCAUAUUAACUUUCAAUGCCAGUUUCUGCGCUUACCAUUGUGACCACGGGUAACGGGGAAUCAGGGUUCCAUUCCGUACAGGGACCCUGAGUAACAUCUACCACAUGCAAGGAAGGCAGCAGGCGUGCAAAUGACCCACUCCCGAUGUGGGAAAGUAGUGACG
Pelobates cultripes (western spadefoot toad) is the source of this 193-nucleotide non-coding RNA. Lineage: Eukaryota; Metazoa; Chordata; Amphibia; Anura; Pelobatidae. The record is from the annotation of a GenBank genome assembly.